RNAcentral lists this unclassified non-coding RNA (166 nucleotides) under soil metagenome. Its description in RNAcentral is "partial contains 5.8S ribosomal RNA, internal transcribed spacer 2, and large subunit ribosomal RNA". The record is from RNAcentral.
AACGCACGAGACCUGCGGACCUGCGGAGGGAUCAUUAGUGAACGCCCUCACGGGCUUAUAACUACUCCAAACCUCUGUGAACCGUGCCCUUCGGGGCUAUUUUACAAACAUGGUGUAAUGAACGUCAUAUAUCAUAACAAAACAAAACUUUUAACAACGGAUCUCU